UUGUUAACAGCAUAGCACAUGCAAUAGAUUGUAGAUCUAACCACGGAAAUUACAUCCUUAACAAA
Molecule: transfer RNA, 65 nt
Filed under: Cipangopaludina chinensis
Lineage: Eukaryota; Metazoa; Mollusca; Gastropoda; Architaenioglossa; Viviparidae
Also listed under: 4 other names
Description: tRNA-Tyr
Source: RNAcentral